Lolium rigidum is the source of this 833-nucleotide long non-coding RNA. RefSeq lists it as uncharacterized. Lineage: Eukaryota; Viridiplantae; Streptophyta; Magnoliopsida; Poales; Poaceae. The record is from RefSeq and is a predicted model, not a curated record. The transcript is spliced from 5 exons.
UGCUCAGGGCCUCUCCGCCGCCCGGACUGAAAGCCGGGAGGCAUGCAAAUUACCCUUGCCCCACAAUGUAGCUGGCCAAUAAGCUGCGGCGCUCUUGGAGCCUGCACCGCCCGCAAGCGCAUCUAGGUAUCGUGGAUGUCUCCCGCUCCGGCCGCAUUCCCCGUCUCCAAGUCGGCUUCCACUGCCAACCUCGAGUUUGAUGGCAACAGUUGUAUGGGUGUUUUGUUGGUGGGAGAAAGAUAGAUUGAGCAUGCACAACUCAUCGGAAGGUGCCAACCACAGCCAUGCUCUUGGCGCUCUCCGCCAUGUGCCCUCCUGCUUUCAACCCCGCCCCCACCUAGUUGAUGACCCAAGGUCGUCUGAAGCUUGUGGUUGCCAUCCAUCUGGUGGUGACCCGGCACCCUCCUCCUCACGAAGACUUUCACAAUGAUCGGGCUCCUUCCUCGCCAACAACAAGGCCACGAGAAUGGUCCUGUAAGAAAUCAUUAAAACUGAUUCGUGAUACCAGUACCCAGACAUUUGGAAGUAACAAAGCAAGAUGGUUCAAUUACCCGAGCCACAUGGAAAUUGAACUUAUCAUGUCAACAAAAUUAUGGUGGAUGGGAGGCUAUCUUUGUGCAUCAAGAUGGAGAAGCUUUUUUAAGCGUUGGGGAGGACUUGACAAUAUUCACGGUGCACUCCAGGUUGAGGCGAUGACACAAGGAAGGAGAUUAGCAUCGGAAUUAACAUGGUAUGGGUCUUUGUUCGUGAAGCAUACUUUGGAGGCAUAAAUCUUUGACCUAUCUCCUCGCUCGUGUUGAUGGAAAACAUCAAGGGAUGACCAGGGACCAUUU